GACGAACGCUGGCGGCGUGCCUAAUACAUGCAAGUCGAGCGGACAGAUGGGAGCUUGCUCCCUGAUGUUAGCGGCGGACGGGUGAGUAACACGUGGGUAACCUGCCUGUAAGACUGGGAUAACUCCGGGAAACCGGGGCUAAUACCGGAUGGUUGUUUGAACCGCAUGGUUCAAACAUAAAAGGUGGCUUCGGCUACCACUUACAGAUGGACCCGCGGCGCAUUAGCUAGUUGGUGAGGUAACGGCUCACCAAGGCAACGAUGCGUAGCCGACCUGAGAGGGUGAUCGGCCACACUGGGACUGAGACACGGCCCAGACUCCUACGGGAGGCAGCAGUAGGGAAUCUUCCGCAAUGGACGAAAGUCUGACGGAGUAACGCCGCGUGAGUGAUGAAGGUUUUCGGAUCGUAAAGCUCUGUUGUUAGGGAAGAACAAGUACCGUUCGAA
RNAcentral lists this ribosomal RNA (446 nucleotides) under Bacillus subtilis. RNAcentral's name for it is "bacterial SSU rRNA". It matches the Rfam family "Bacterial small subunit ribosomal RNA", at positions 28 to 464 of the family's 1533-position model. The record is from RNAcentral. Lineage: Bacteria; Bacillati; Bacillota; Bacilli; Caryophanales; Bacillaceae.